UCUGUACUUCUUUUGAAUUUCCCCUGUAACAAGCUGCCUGUCUUUUUCUUUCCUGGAAUUGCAAUACUUCAGUUUAAUAUUUUAAAUUAUCGAAUGAUGAAAGACAAGGGUUUUACGGAUAGUAUCUGGCACUGGACAGCUUCUCAGCAAGCUGUUUGCUUUGUUUUUAUCUGGGAGAUUCUGUUUUCUUUAACAAGCAUUGGCACCUGGUCUUAUACCUGUCUGGCCACCAUAUGUACCAGGAAGACAGCUGGGUUACAACCCUGGGAGAUCUCUACCUGUUCCUGGAAAGCUUGGUGCUGGUACCUAAGAUCCUUGUGCCCUCACCCGAUGUUGUAGUGGAUGAACCUGGUUAAACUUACAUAGUACAUUGUGCAACUUCUCAUGAUUGCUGAAUAUGUUAUCUACUGCACUGUACCUUUGCUGCAGUGGCUAAGGCCUCGGAAAAUAAAGGCAAGCAAACAAGUGGCAGAUGCAGUAUUUAUUGAUCUGUCCAAGUCAUUUGAUAACAUGGACCACAUAUUAGAAUGUGACUGGUUAUUAAAAAUAGGUGGAUGCUUAAUUCUAAAUAUUAUUGUUAAAUCAUCUUUGCCUACUUAUGUAGUGAGUACCCUACCAUUACAAUCCCAAUUCUGAUAAAAUGUUUGCAAAACAACAUCCAGAUAUAACUCUAAUUUCAAUAAUGUUUUAGUUUAUUGGAUUAUACGAUGAUCAUACAAACUAUAAUCUUGUAUUUUACUUACACAUUUGUAAGAAUUAAUUGUAAUCUUAGUUAAUUAAACCAAUAGUUUUUUUCUAUGCAGAACCAACUGCAUGUUUUGACUUCUAAUGUUUCCAUUACAGUAUAAAUUUGUUUAGCAGCAGUUUCUGAAUACUAAAUCCUAGAAGUAAUCACCACAUUGAAAGAAUAUAUUAUAAAGUGAAAAGUUUAAAUGUGGGUGCUUCAAAACAAUGACCACGUGCAGGUAAAAAACAGAGCAGAAUAUAUGCAGAAGAAGGGAGAACAGUAAGUCGUCUUUCAAUAAACUCCCUGACCAAAAAAAUGUGUUAACAUUCAAUACAGUAGGCAUUUUAAAACGUCUUGAAUAAGUUCAACAAAGUCUUUAUUCAAUUGUUUCAACUGAGUAGAAGUAGAAAGAUCUACAGCAUUACAGUGCAGUGAUCCCUAAAGUACUGGUUAACUCUCCAACUGCACUGAAGAUAACAAAUAGUUUAGUUUUAUACAGGCAAUAAAACACGCAUUCAUUAACAUAUAGCCUAUUACAUACCACUAACAUCCCACUUACCCAAUAAUAGCUAACUAAUUACCAUACUACUGUCAAAAUAGAAAAUGUGUGUACAGCUUUCAUUGUUACUAGUGUGCAGGAACUAUUAUUAGUUGAAUUACCCAUUGUGGCAAAGUGCCCCGGCCUUGUGCAUAUUUUUGUGUUAUAUGUUGCAUGUGGUGUGUUAAUAUUUGUGUAUAGGUAUUGGUGCACGGUAUAUAAAUGGGUCUGUGUAGCACAGGUGAUGUAAAAUGUAUAAUUGUAUUUAGACACUGUAGCAUCAGAGGUGGUCAUAAUAUCAUUCUAUGUAUGAAAGUAACAGAAUUGAAAUAUACAGAGGAGGAAUCUUAAACCAUUCUGUGUCUUCUUGGUUUCUGGUCACAAACUCCCCCACUGACAAAGAAUGCUUUUAAAAAGAGUCAUAAACUAAUUGCUGAACAAAUGGCUUCUCUUCAUGAUCGCUGAAUGACAAUUUUGGUGCCGCAAGCCAGACAGUUCUGGGUGCUUUGACACCUAAGAGAGGAACCAGUCCAUCAAAGUAGUUUACGUGCAGCUGUACCUAGAUUCCAAAUUGAAUGAUUGAUUAGCAAUCGAGUCUCGGUACACCUGCAUAAAAGGUGCAGUGUUUCACUCACUCGGGGUUGUGUGUUGCGUGAGUGGAGAACAGGUGUGGAGAGGAAAUUAAAAUAAUAAUUAAAAGAUAACAAAUGGUACUCAUGAGAGAG
Long non-coding RNA from Acipenser ruthenus (sterlet), 1990 nucleotides. RefSeq lists it as uncharacterized. The record is from RefSeq and is a predicted model, not a curated record. The transcript is spliced from 3 exons. Lineage: Eukaryota; Metazoa; Chordata; Actinopteri; Acipenseriformes; Acipenseridae.